Molecule: long non-coding RNA, 8124 nt
Filed under: Triticum aestivum (bread wheat)
Lineage: Eukaryota; Viridiplantae; Streptophyta; Magnoliopsida; Poales; Poaceae
Description: long non-coding RNA (TAES_LNC009100)
Rfam family: tRNA (bases 7432-7504)
Source: RNAcentral
CCAAGAUAAUCUAAGGACACCCAAAAGCCAAAGCUUGGGGAUGCCCCGGAAGGCAUCCCCUCUUUCGUCUACUUCCAUCGGUAACUUUACUUGGAGCUUUAUUUUAUUCACCACAUGAUAUGUGUUUUUCUUGGAGCGUCUUGUAUGAUUUGAGUCUUUGCUUUUUAGUUUACCACAAUCAUGUUUGCUGUACACACCUUUUGAGAGAGACACACGUGAUUCGGAAAUUAUUAGAAUACUCUAUGUGCUUCACUUAUAUCUUUUGAGUUAUAUAGUUUUUUGCUCUAGUACUUCACUUAUAUCUUUUAGAGCAUGGUGGUGGUUUUGUUUUAUAGAAACUAUUAUUCUCUGAUGCUUCACUUAGAUUAUUUUGAGUGUCUUAAACAGCAUGGUAAUUUUCUUAAAUAAUCCUAAUAUGCUAGGUAUUCAAGACUAGUAAAAACUUUCUUAUGAGUGUGUUGAAUACUAAGAGAAGUUUGAUGCUUGAUGAUUGUUUUGAGACAUGGAGGUAGUGAUAUCAAAGUUGUGCUAGUUGAGUAGUUGUGAAUUUGAGAAAUACUUUUAUUGAAGCUUGCAAGUCCCGUAGCAUGCACGUAUGGUAAACGUUAUGUAAAAAAUUUGAAACAUGAGGUGUUCUUUGAGUGUCCUCCUUAUGAGUGGCGGUCGGGGACGAGCGAUGGUCUUUUCCUACCAAUCUACCCCCCUAGGAGCAUGCGCGUAAUGCUUGGUUUUUGAUGACUUGUAGAUUUUUGCAAUAAGUAUGUGAGUUCUUUAUGACUAAUGUUGAGUCCAUGGAUUACACGCACUCUCACCUUUCCACCAUUGCUAGCCUCUUCGGUACUAUGCAUUGCCCUUUCUCACAUUGAGAGUUGGUGCAAACUUCGCCGGUGCAUCCAAACCCCGUGAUAUGAUACGCUCUUUCACACAUAAACCUCCCUAUAUCUUCCUCAAAACAGCCACCAUACCUACCUAUUAUGGCAUUUCCAUAGCCAUUCCGAGAUAUAUUGCCAUGCAACUUUCCACCAUUCCAUUUAUCAUGACACGUUCAUCAUUUUCAUAUUGCUUUGCAUGAUGAUGUAGUUGACAUAGUAUUUGUGGCAAAGCCACCAUUCAUAAUUCUUUCAUACAUGUCACUCUUGGUUCAUUGCAUAUCCCGGUACACUGUCGGAGGCAUUCAUAUAGAGUCAUACUUUGUUCUAGUACCGAGUUGUAAUCUUUGAGUUGUAAAUAAAUAGAAGUGUGAUGAUCAUCAUUAAUAGAGCAUUGUCCCCCCAAAAAAAGAAAGGCCUAAUAAAAAAAGGGAAGGCCCAAAAAAAGAAAUAAAAGGGACAAUGCUACUAUCCUUUUUCCACACUUGUGCUUCAAAGUAGCACCAUGAUCUUCAUAAUAGAGAGUCUCUUGUUUUGUCACUUUCAUAUACUAGUGGGAAUUUUUCAUUAUAGAACUUGGCUUGUAUAUUCCAACAAUGGGCCUCCUCAAGUGCCCUAGGUCUUCGUGAGCAAGCAAGUUGGAUGCACGCCCACUUAGUUUCUUUUGUUGAGCUUUCAUAUAUUUAUAGCUCUAGUGCAUCCGUUGCAUGGCAAUCCCUACUCCUUGCAUUAACAUCAAUCGAUGGGAAUCUCCAUAGCUCAUUGAUUAGCCUCGUUGAUCUGAGACUUUCUCCCUUUUUUGUCUUCUCCACAUAACCCCCAUCAUUAUAUUCUAUUCCACCCAUAGUGCUAUAUCCAUGGCUCACGCUCAUGUAUUGCGUGAAAGUUGAAAAGGUUUGAGAUUACUAAAGUAUGAAACAAUUGCUUGGCUUGUCAUCGGGGUUGUGCAUGAUGAGAGCAUUCUUGUGUGACAAAAAUGGAGCAUGACUAAACUAUAUGAUUUUGUAGGGAUGAACUUCCUUUGGCCAUGUUAUUUUGAGAAGACAUAAUUGCUUAGUUAGUAUGCUUGAAGUAUUAUUAUUUUUAUGUCAAUAUUGAACUUUUAUCUUGAAUCUUUCGGAUCUGAAUAUUCAUACCACAAUUAAGAAGAAUUACAUUGAAAUUAUGCCAAGUAGCAUUCCACAUAAAAAAUUCUGUUUUUUAUCAUUUACCUACUCGAGGACGAGCAGGAAUUAAGCUUGGGGAUGCUUGAUACGUCUCCAACGUAUCUAUAGUUUUUGAUUGCUCCAUGCUAUAUUAUAUUCUGUUUUGGACAUUAUUGGGCUUUAUUAUACACUUUUAUAUUAUUUUUGGGACUAACCUAUUAACCGGAGGCCCAGCCCAGUAUUGCUGUUUUUUGCCUAUUUCAGAGUUUCGCAGAAAAAGAAUAUCAAACGGGGUCCAAACGGAAUGAAACAUUCGGGAACGUGAUUUCCGGAACGAAUGUGAUCCAGAGGACUUGGACCCUACGUCAAGACAUCAACCAGGAGGGCACGAGGUAGGGGGGCGUGCCUACCCCCCAGGGCGCGCCCUCCACCCUCGUGGGCCCCUGUUGCUCCACCGACAUACUCCUUCCUCCUAUAUAUACCUACGUACCCCCAAACUACCAGAUACGGAGCCAAAACCCUAAUUCCACCGCCGCAACCUUCUGUACCCGUGAGAUCCCAUCAUGGGGCCUGUUCCGGAGCUCCGCUGGAGGGGGCAUCGAUCAUGGAGGGCUUCUACAUCAACACCAUAGCCUCUCCGAUGAUGUGUGAGUAGUUUACCUCAGACCUUCGGGUCCAUAGUUAUUAGCUAGAUGGCUUCUUCUCUCUUUUUGGAUCUCAAUACAAUGUUCUCCCCCUCUCUCGUGGAGAUCUAUUCGAUGUAAUCUUCUUUUGCGGUGUGUUUGUUGAGACCGAUGAAUUGUGGGUUUAUGAUCAAGUUUAUAUAUGAACAAUAUUUGAAUCUUCUCUGGAUUCUUUUAUGUAUGAUUGGUUAUCUUUGCAAGUCUCUUAGAAUUAUCAGUUUGGUUUGGCCUACUAGAUUGAUCUUUCUUGCAAUGGGAGAAGUGCUUUGCUUUGGGUUCAAUCUUGUGGUGUCCUUUCCCAGUGACAGUAGGGGCAGCAAGACACGUAUUGUAUUGUUGCCAUCGAGGAUAACAAGAUGGGGUUUAUAUCAUAUUGCAUGAGUUUAUCCCUCUACAUCAUGUCAUCUUGCUUAAAGCAUUACUCUUUUCUUAUGAACUUAAUACUCUAGAUGCAUGCUGGAUAGCGGUCGAUGUGUGGAGUAAUAGUAGUAGAUGCAGGCAGGAGUCGGUCUACUUGUCUCGGACGUUAUGCCUAUAUACAUGAUCAUACCUAGAUAUUCUCAUAACUAUGCUCAAUUCUGUCAAUUGCUCAACAGUAAUUUGUUCACCCACCGUAAAUACUUAUGCUCUUGAGAGAAGCCAUUAGUGAAACCUAUGGCCCCAGGGUCUAUUUUCCAUCAUAUUAAUCUUCCAACACUUAGCUAUUUUUAUUGCCUUUUAUUUUACUUUGCAUCUUUAUCAUAAAAAUACCAAAAAUAUUAUCUUAUCAUAUCUCACUCUCGGAAGUGACCGUGUAGAGAUUGACAACCCCUUAUCAUGUUGGUUGCGAGGAUUUAUUUGUUUGUGUAGGUGCGAGGGACUCGUGCGUGGCCUCCUAAUGGAUUGAUACCUUGGUUCUCAAAAACUGAGGGAAAUACUAACGCUGCUUUACUGCAUCACCCAUUCCUCUUCAAGGGAAAACCAACGCAGUGCUCAAGAGGUAGCAGUCUCCUUCCAUAACUUUCCAAUUACGAGUACGUGAAUUGAAAGACAUGAAAAUUCUAAAUUCUCUACGGCGUCUAGUAGAUAGAAACAAGAAAAUCUGAAGAGUCUUUCUCUCUAUUCACUAUCAUUUCGCGUCUUCGACUUCUAUUAGUUUCUUUUCUUAUUUAAUGCAAUAGUUAUAGUUUGAUAUAAGAAUCCAUUUCUCAAAGUAAUGGAAACCAUUCUCUUAUAGGAAAUGGUUCGAAAAUCGCUAUUCCACCUUUUAGGUAUCGUGAAAAGUGAUACCUGUGAAGAUCGUGCAUUUCAGUCAAAUUCAGAUCCGUUUUUCGAGUCCAUGAUAUAAUAUAACCAAAUUGGAUAGAUCUUCCACCUGUUUAGCUAAGAAAGAAUAGAUACAGAGGUGGAUAAUAGAUCGACAGGAAGAUCAUGAGCUACCCCAUAAUGAAAUCGCCAGUAGUCGCGAAUAUCUCCUUCUUCCCUAAUCCAAGAUUGGAGAAAGAAGAUCUAAGAGGGACCUAUGGAGAAUGUAGUCAGAAAUCCAUAAUAGAGUCCGACCACAACGACCGAAUUAAUUAUCCUCAUCGAGAAACUUAGACUACUAAAUAGAAAAGAUUUGAAAAUCAUGGCAUGGGUCUCCUUUUUUCUUUCUUUAGAGUUUUCUAUAUGCACAAUUUCUCGAUGUUUCGAUGAGAAUUUCUUGACUUUCCAUAUAUAGAAAGAGAUAGACUAUAAAUGACAUCUCUUAUGUCAAUAAGACCAAAGGGAUGGAUAUUAAAUGAUAGGAAGUGCUUGGAAGUGAAAUAGAAUGAAAUAGAGCCACUUUGGGCUUCCCUAUGAAAUGAGGCAUGGAACGGAGCCACUACGAAGAAAUUAUGGGAGUUAUGAAAGAAGCUUCGGACUCAUAUUGUUCAUGGGUUGAGAGCGGGAGUUGAACGCUAGGAGGUCGAAUCCCCCCUUGUUCCUCAGUAGCUCAGUGGUAGAGCGGUCGGCUGUUAAUUGACUGGUCGUAGGUUUGAAUACCUUUCUUGACUCAAAGAAGUUCUCUACGAGGAACUUUGUACCAUGCACAUUACUUAGCACAACUAGGAAAAUAAGAUAAGAUAAAGAUAAGCAAGACUAAAAAAAUAUUCGUCGGAAUAGCGGAAUACGAAAUUAAGAAACGCAAAAAAAAUAAAGGGGAAUCUCACCCCCUUAUUUAUCAUAAAGAAAAGAUAUAUUUUAAAACUUCUUUAAAAAGAAAAAGAAGUGCCUCUAUAUUUAUAUUAUAGAUAUAUCCACUUAGAUGAAUAAAUAUUAUUAAUGAAUAUGUAUCACAAUCCAUCUCGAGGUAUUUGGAUCAAUACCUAUUCGGUGGAUCUUUUCUUUUCUCUGCCAGGAACCAGAUUUGAACUGGUGACACGAGGAUUUUCAGUCCUCUGCUCUACCAACUGAGCUAUCCUGACCUUUUCUUGUGCAUCAUCCUAGUAGAGUAUUUGUAUCUAUGUCAAUUAAAAGGACUNNNNNNNNNNCAUUUGGAUUCCCCUAUUUUGAAAAUCGCAUAUUAAUUUCCUUCAUAUGAGCAGAAAAAUAGGAUGACUCAAAGAAGUUCUCUACCAGGAACUUUGUACCGCGCACAUUACUUAGCACAACUAGGAAAAUAAGAUAAGAUAAAGAUAAGCAAGACUAAAAAAAUAUUCGUCGGAAUAGCGGAAUACAAAUUAGAUGAAUAAAUAUUAUUAAUGAAUAUGUAUCACAAUCCAUCUCGAGGUAUUUGGAUCAAUACCUAUUCGGUGGAUCUUUUUUUUUUUUUUUCUCUGCCAGGAACCAGAUUUGAACUGGUGACACGAGGAUUUUCAGUCCUCUGCUCUACCAACUGAGCUAUCCUGACCUUUUCUUGUGCAUCAUCCUAGUAGAGUAUUUGUAUCUAUGUCAAUUAAAAGGACUAAAAAUUAAUUAAAGUGUUUCAAAUUUAAAAUUUGAAAAUGGGGGGGUAGUCCUAUGCAUUGUGCAUGGUUUACUUAAAUAAAACUUAAAAAUAGAGUGAAUAACCAAGAUUUCUUGCCGAUACUCUAAUAAAAAAGAAAUCUAUUCAAUGAAUAGGAUAAGAUCCAUUGAGUUCUCUUCGCAUUCCUUUGUGAAAGAGUAGAAUGAGAAAGCUAAUGAAUCUUAAACCCAUUGAUAAAAAGAAAAAAAAGAGGAUAAAUAAUAAUAAUAUAGUAUAGUUAGGGAAUAAAAGAGGAUUUGGGGAUAGAGGGACUUGAACCCUCACAACUUAUAAAGUCGACGGAUUUUCCUUUUACUAGAAAUUUCAUUGUUGUCAGUAUUGACAUGUAGAAUGGGACUCUCUCUUUGUCCUCGUCCGAUUAAUCCACUUUUUUAAAGAUCUCGAAAACUUUGAAUUUGAAUUGAAGAAUUUGAUUAUUCAAUAUUCGAUUGGAGUGGANNNNNNNNNNAAAAAAAGAGGAUAAAUAAUAAUAAUAUAGUAUAGUUAGGGAAUAAAAGAGGAUUUGGGGAUAGAGGGACUUGAACCCUCACAACUUAUAAAGUCGACGGAUUUUCCUUUUACUAGAAAUUUCAUUGUUGUCAGUAUUGACAUGUAGAAUGGGACUCUCUCUUUGUCCUCGUCUGAUUAAUCCACUUUUUUAAAGAUCUCGAAAACUUUGAAUUUGAUUAUUCAAUAUUCGAUUGGAGUGGAUUCACAAUAAUGAAAAAAAUAUUAUGAUAUGAGUUUUUUAUUUCAUAAUCAUUAUCAUUUCUAAUUUCAUUUAAAAAAAAGAUAAAGAACCUAUAUUAUAAUUAUAAUAUAAUAUGAGUUCUGUGAUUAAUCGUUUGCUAUGUCAGUAUCUAUACGUGUUUAUUAAAUGUAUAAGGUAUAAAACCCCUCUUUCUCUAAUUUAGAAUUAGAAGGAAUUCCACUAACAACACAACGUAAUUAAAUCGAUUUAUUAGAACAGCUUCCAUUGAGUCUCUGCACCUAUCCUUUUCCUUUGUAUUCUAGUUCGAGAACCCCUUGUUUUCUCAAAACACGGAUUUGGCUCAGGAUUGCCCUUUUUUAAUUCCAGGGUUUCUCUGAAUUUGGAAGUUACCACUUAGCAGGUUUCCAUACCAAGGCUCAAUACAAUCAAGUCCGUAGCGUCUACCGAUUUUGCCAUAUCCCCAUUUCCCUCUUCUUUGAGACCAGGAUUCCUUGUGUAAUUUCAUCCAUCUCUUAGUUUUUUUUUGAAUCAUUGAGUUCAUCGCUCAACGUAGUCUAGCAGUUCAGUUCGACUCUAUUUGAGAGACCUCGCUUGCCUAUUGCAAUUCAGAAUUGAAUUGAUUCUAUCCUUGAUGUAUUUGCAAUUCAAUCCGAAUCAAUAUAUCCAAAAGCUUUUACCUCCCCCACCUCCCGUCUUACUUUUUUAUAGUAUUCAAAAUUAUACUAUAACGCUUGAUAUUUAUUCUUUUUUUCUAAUCAGAAUUGGCAAUUUUAAUUACUCUGACUCUAUAUUCCCCUUAGUGAAAUAUUAAUCCUCAAAUUAUUAACAAAUAAUAAAGUCUAUAAUAAUCGAAUGAAAAUACCGAUAAAUUCUAUAAUUUUAUUUUUUAAUAUCCUAUAGUUAAGCAUAUCAAGCUAACUUUAUCUUUAAGAAGUUUUAGUAUUUUUUUACUUUUAUAAGUAUAACUUCAAAUUUAGAACUAGUUAAUAGGUAAGAUUAAUAACUAAUAUCUGAGAUUUUACGCAUUUCCUAUACUAUACCUAUUUCUAUUUGUUACACUAUUUCCGUUAUGUAAGCCCACUUAGCUCAGAGGUUAGAGCAUCGCAUUUGUAAUGCGAGGGUCAUCGGUUCAAAUCCGAUAGUCGGCUUUUUUUCUCUAUCGAUGUUCUACGAACAAGAAUCUCUUUUCUCCCGAAUUAAAUGGAGAAUCCAGGAUCUUUUAUGUUUUUUACCUUACAAUUUUGCUAGAUACAAACAAUAAAAUAAAUAAUAUAUAUACAAAAAUAAAGAUUUUGAUGAAAUUCCAUUUUUUGGGGUACUUUAGUUGAUUUUACUCUGUUUAUCCUGUAGUUUAAUUCAGUUUUAAUUUCGAUGUAUUCUGUAAUGUAAAUACAAUGAAAUUAAUUGUGUAAAAUGAAAUUUCAAUAAAAUAAAAAAAGGAGUCUUCAUGUCCCGUUAUCGAGGACCUCGUUUAAAAAAAUACGCCGUGUGGGAGCUUUACCAGGACUCACAAGAAAAACACAUAAAUCCGGAAGUAAUCUUAAAAAAAAUUCAAUUCUUGGAAAAAGGAGCAAUAUCGUAUUCGUCUUCAAGAAAAACAGAAAUUGCGUUUUCAUUAUGGUCUGACAGAACGACAAUUACUUAGAUAUGUACAUAUCGCUGGAAAAGCAAAGAGGUCAACAGGCCAGGUUUUACUACAAUUACUUGAAAUGCGUUUGGAUAAUAUCCUUUUUCGAUUGGGUAUGGCUUCAACCAUUCCUGGGGCCCU